ACGUUAGCGGCGGACGGGUGAGUAACACGUGGGUAACCUACCUAUAAGACUGGGAUAACUUCGGGAAACCGGAGCUAAUACCGGAUAAUAUUUCGAACCGCAUGGUUCGAUAGUGAAAGAUGGUUUUGCUAUCACUUAUAGAUGGACCCGCGCCGUAUUAGCUAGUUGGUAAGGUAACGGCUUACCAAGGCGACGAUACGUAGCCGACCUGAGAGGGUGAUCGGCCACACUGGAACUGAGACACGGUCCAGACUCCUACGGGAGGCAGCAGUA
Molecule: ribosomal RNA, 273 nt
Filed under: uncultured Staphylococcus sp.
Lineage: Bacteria; Bacillati; Bacillota; Bacilli; Caryophanales; Staphylococcaceae
Description: partial 16S ribosomal RNA
Rfam family: Bacterial small subunit ribosomal RNA
Source: RNAcentral